CUGCCUCCUGGGUUGAAGCGAUUCUUUUGCUUCAGCCUCCUGAGUGGCUGGGACUACAGAUGCCCGCCACCACGCCCGGCUAACUUUUGUAAUUUUUUAGAGACGGAGUUUUGCCAUGUUGGCCAGGCUGGUCUCGACCUCCUGACCUCUGGUGAUGUGCCUGCCUCAGCCUUCCAAAGUGCAGGGAUUACAGGCGUGAGCCACCACACUCGGCCUAGAAACUCUUUUAUUUUAAAAAAUAUAUGUAUAUUAUAUUUAUAUAUAUAUAAUAUAUAAAAAUGUAUAUAUAAUAUGUAUAUAAAUAUAAUGUAUAAAUAUAAUAUUUAUAUAUAUUUAUAAAUAUAUUUAUAUAUUAUAUUUAUAAUAUAUAUUAUAUAUAUAAUAUAUAUAAUAAAUAUAUGUACAAUUAUAUAUAUUAUAUAUAAUAUAUAUAAUAUAUAUUAUAGAUAUAUUAAAUAUAUAUAUUUUUAUAUAUAUUAUAUAUUUAUUAUAUAUAUUAUAUAUAAAUAAUAUAAAUAUAAUAUGUAUUAUAUAUAAAUAAUAUAAAUAUAAUAUAUAUAAACAAUAUAAAUAUAUUACAUAUAAAUAAUAUAAUAUAUAUAAUAUAUUAUAUAAAUAAUAUAAAUAUAAUAUAUAUUACAUAUGUAAUAUAAAUAAUAUAGAUAUAAUAUAUAUGUAAUAUAUAUUAUAUAUAUUUAUUAAUUAUAUAUUAUAUAUAUAAAAUAUAUAUAUAUAUUUUUUUAGAGACAGCGUAUUGCUAUGUUGCUGAGGUUGGCCUCCAACUUCUGGGCUCAAGUGAUCCUCCUGCCUGAACCCCCUGCUGUAUCCCCCUACCCUGCCCCAGCAACUGUGAUUACACGCACAGAUCGGUAUGUUCAUUUAGGGAUUUGUAUUUUUAUGCACGUACCGGUAUGUUCAGUUAGGGAUUUGUAUUUUUAGAGUUUAGCAUAUAUAAACUAUUUGGACUUUCUUAAGGAGCAUAUAAUCAGAACAAAGUAAGCAAUUUAAAAAUAUAUAGCAGAGAAUCAAUAAAGAGGCUUUACAGACAUACACGGAAGAGGCACUAAAACUGGGACACCACAGGAGCUGCUGGCGGGUGAGAGGCGCUUCGCUGGCUGACAACUGCUAUGUUUCCAAACAGAACAGAGAACCAGUCUACUUAGAUACAUCCUUGUAUGGGUCAUUUGCAGUAAAGAAUUUAGGUAAAAUAACAAACUUCAUGGAGAGAUCACAUUUCUAUAUUUGAGUCAUUUAACUCCCAUGGAAGGUACUUGUGUGUAACCAACUGCUACUCAUCGAGGGCAUUUUAAAUAUAAGGAGAAUUUAAAGAAUAGAAAUUUGAUACCUUCAUGAAGGCAAAAAUUAAAAUUUGUAACCAUCAGGUUCUCCUUGAAAACCACCACUAAAAUGCAGGAAAAAUUAUUAAAAUACACAGUUUGGGUAAAACUUACAAACCCAUGUAGUAAAGCAUUUCUCCACGAUAAACAAUUACUUACCCAUGUCCAAAAGGUGAAAUAAAGUAAAAGCAACAAUGCACCCUAU
This 1542-nucleotide long non-coding RNA is filed under the name Homo sapiens (human). Its description in RNAcentral is "non-protein coding lnc-HDLBP-2:1". Lineage: Eukaryota; Metazoa; Chordata; Mammalia; Primates; Hominidae. The record is from RNAcentral.